RNAcentral lists this ribosomal RNA (460 nucleotides) under uncultured bacterium. RNAcentral describes it as "partial 16S ribosomal RNA". It matches the Rfam family "Bacterial small subunit ribosomal RNA", at positions 338 to 795 of the family's 1533-position model. The record is from RNAcentral.
CCUACGGGAGGCAGCAGUGAGGAAUAUUGGUCAAUGGACGGAAGUCUGCACCAGCCAUGCCGCGUGCAUGAAGACGGCUCUAUGGGUUGUAAACUGCUUUUGUACAAGGGUAAACCUGAAUACGUGUAUUCAGCUGAAAGUACUGUACGAAUAAGGAUCGGCUAACUCCGUGCCAGCAGCCGCGGUAAUACGGAGGGUCCAAGCGUUAUCCGGAUUUAUUGGGUUUAACGGGUGCGUAGGCGGAUUGAUAAGUUAGAGGUGAAAUGUCCGGGCUCAACUCGGGAACUGCCUCGAAUACUGUUGAUCUAGAGAGUAGAUGCGGUAGGCGGAAUGUAUGGUGUAGCGGGGAAAUGCUUAGAGAUCAUACAGAACACCGAUUGCGAAGGCAGCUUACCAAUCUAUAUCUGACGUUGAGGCACGAAAGCGUGGGGAGCAAACAGGAUUAGAUACCCCGGUAGUC